RNA transcript from Cynoglossus semilaevis (tongue sole), 1297 nucleotides. It is a transcript of the gene named nucleoporin 37, with no coding region annotated. Lineage: Eukaryota; Metazoa; Chordata; Actinopteri; Pleuronectiformes; Cynoglossidae. The transcript has 11 exons. The record is from RefSeq and is a predicted model, not a curated record.
UUAUCCAAAUCUCACCCUGACCGAUUGAAUAAAAUGGUUUAGUCUGUGACGUCAGCGGAAGACGGAAGAAAACAUUCAGAAGGCGCGCAUGCUUGAUUCAGAAAAAUUCUUGACAAAUCUGAACUGACUGGUGCCAUGUCGCGCAACAUGCAGGAGGACACACACCGCAGCCCAAGCUACACCGUGACAUGUGAGGACUACGUCCAUGUGGUGGAGUUCAGUCCUUUCAGCUCAGGAACUCCCCUCUCUCUUCUGGCAUAUGGUGGAAACCAGUUUGUGGUGGUUGCUUCCUGUAUUUUCCAGGAAGAGGAUAAGGAGAUCAAGGGAGUUGACUUCAACAUCCUUCAAGCGUUCCACCAUGAAGUGCGUGUUGAUGCUCUUGCCUGGAGUCCUGAGUCGCGACUGGACAGAGUACCUAACAUUAGGUUGUGCAGCGCCGCAGCUGACAGAAAGCUACGCCUGCUGACAUCUGAUCUCCAGGAGAGGCAUGAAGUCAAGGUAAUGGAGGGCCACACCAGCUACAUCAACCACCUGGUGUUUGAGCCAACAGAGGGGAAACAAAUUGCUUCAGUCAGCGACGAUCACACAUGCAGGGUCUGGGACCUGGAUGGAAAUGAAAACUGUAUUUUCAGACUGCGCUCUCCAGGCAUCAGUGUGUGCUGGCAUCCAGAGGAAGUGUUCAAGUUAUUAGUUGCGGAGAAGAAAGGUACGAUUCGCUUCUAUGACCUGGUCACCCAGCAGGCCAUUCUGUCCCUCGACUGCGGCCAGUCACCGCUCAUGUGGGCCGACUGGUGCCUCCACAACACCAUCAAAGUGGGAGCGGUGGCGGGCAACGAUUGGCUCAUCUGGGACAUAACUCGCUCCAGCUAUCCCCAAGAGAAGAGGCCGGCUCACAUCGAUACGGCACGGUUUUUCAAGUUUAGCAAGAACUUAAAAAACAAAACUUUCAGGACAGUUCCUGGGACUGUCCCUGGUACCUUGUCCAGGAGCUGGGUGCAACCUUUAGGCAGCGCUGAGCAGAACGCAUGUGACCAGGUCAACAAUGUUGUGGUCUCGAGCCAAUGAAAACAUCUUUGCCACCACAGGAUGUCCUGGCAAAAUCAGUAGUCAGUUACUCAUCCACCAUCUUGGCCACCCUCAGCCGGUGACCAUCGGAUCGACGGCGGUGGGCUCAGGCCUCAGCUGGCACCGUACACUUCCACUCUGUGUGAUGGGCGGCGACAGGAAACUUGUCUUUUGGCUAACGGAGAUGUAGACAUCUCUGUUAGCUUUUUCCACACUGAUCACUCGGUCUUUA